CCUACGGGAGGCUGCAGUGGGGAAUAUUGCACAAUGGGGGAAACCCUGAUGCAGCGACGCCGCGUGGGUGACGAAGUAUUUCGGUAUGUAAAGCCCUAUCAGCAGGGAAGAAGAUGACAGUACCUGACCAAGAAGCCCCGGCUAACUACGUGCCAGCAGCCGCGGUAAUACGUAGGGGGCAAGCGUUAUCCGGAUUUACUGGGUGUAAAGGGAGCGUAGGUGGCAUGGCAAGCCAGAAGUGAAAACCCGGGGCUUAACCCCGCGGAUUGCUUUUGGAACUGUCAGGCUGGAGUGCAGGAGGGGCAGGCGGAAUUCCUGGUGUAGCGGUGAAAUGCGUAGAUAUCAGGAGGAACACCGGUGGCGAAGGCGGCCUGCUGGACUGUAACUGACACUGAGGCUCGAAAGCGUGGGGAGCAAACAGGAUUAGAUACCCUAGUAGUC
RNAcentral lists this ribosomal RNA (441 nucleotides) under uncultured bacterium. Its description in RNAcentral is "partial 16S ribosomal RNA". It matches the Rfam family "Bacterial small subunit ribosomal RNA", at positions 338 to 795 of the family's 1533-position model. The record is from RNAcentral.